UGAGUAACGCGUAAGCAAUCUGCCUAUUAGAGGGGAAUAACAGUGAGAAAUCACUGCUAAUACCGCAUAUGCCAUGAACAUCGCAUGAUGAAAAUGGGAAAGGAGUAAUCCGCUAAUAGAUGAGCUUGCGUCUGAUUAACUAGUUGGUGUGGUAAUGGCAUACCAAGGUAACGAUCAGUAGCCGGACUGAGAGGUUGAACGGCCACAUUGGGACUGAGAUACGGCCCAGACUCCUACGGGAGGCAGCAGUCGGGAAUAUUGCGCAAUGGAGGAAACUCUGACGCAGUGACGCCGCGUAUAGGAUGAAGGUUUUCGGAUUGUAAACUAUUGUCAUUAGGGAAGAUAAAAGACAGUACCUAAGGAGGAAGCUCCGGCUAACUACGUGCCAGCAGCCGCGGUAAUACGUAGGGAGCAAGCGUUAUCCGGAUUUAUUGGGUGUAAAGGGUGCGUAGACGGGAGAUUAAGUUAGUUGUGAAAGCCCUU
Molecule: ribosomal RNA, 483 nt
Filed under: uncultured bacterium
Lineage: Bacteria
Description: bacterial SSU rRNA
Rfam family: Bacterial small subunit ribosomal RNA
Source: RNAcentral